AAUUUCAGAAGAUCGUGAAUAUUCGAGCCCCCGGAUGCUUAUUACAGCCCUAGCUUUUAGAGUAAAAUCAAAUGCAUUCGGACUCAACGUGGCGAGAAAUCAGAAAAUUUAUUGGUUGCUGGCGGCGUCGGACACAGUCUGGUUGCUGGCGGCGUCGGACACAGUCUGGUUGCUGGCGGCGUCGGACACAGUCUGGUUGCUGGCGGCGUCGGACACAGUCUGGUUGCUGGCGGCGUCGGACACAGUCUGGUUGCUGGCGGCGUCGGACACAGUCUGGUUGCUGGCGGCGUCGGACACAGUCUGGUUGCUGGCGGCGUCGGACACAGUCUGGUUGCUGGCGGCGUCGGACACAGUCUGGUUGCUGGCGGCGUCGGACACAGUCUGGUUGCUGGCGGCGGGUCGGACACAGUCUGGUUGCUGGCGGCGUCGGACACAGUCUGGUUGCUGGCGGCGUCGGACACAGUCUGGUUGCUGGCGGCGUCGGACACAGUCUGGUUGCUGCGGCGUCGGACACAGUCCUGGUUGCUGGCGGCGUCGACACAGUCUGGUUGCUGGCGGCGUCGGACACAGUCUGGUUGCUGGCGGCGUCGGACACAGUCUGGUUGCUGGCGGCGUCGGACACAGUCUGGUUGCUGGCGGCGUCGACACAGUCUGGUUGCUGGCGGCGUCGGACACAGUCUGGUUGCUGGCGGCGUCGUCGACACAGUCUGGUUGCUGGCGCGUCGGACACAGUCUGGUUGCUGGCGGCGUCGGACACAGUCUGGUUGCUGGCGGCGUCGGACACAGUCUGGUUGCUGGCGGCGUCGGACACAGUCUGGUUGCUGCUGGCGGGUCGGACACAGUCUGGUUGCUGGCGGCGUCGGACACAGUCUGGUUGCUGGCGGCGUCGGACACAGUCUGGUUGCUGGCGGCGUCGGACACAGUCUGGUUGCUGGCGUUGUGGACACAGCUGGUUGGCCGGGACACAGGUCCUGGUUCCUGGUUGCUGGCGGCGUCGGACACAGUCUGGUUGCUGGCGGCGUCGACACAGUCUGGUUGCUGGCGGCGUCGGACACAGUCUGGUUGCUGGCGGCGUCGGACACAGUCUGGUUGCUGGCGGCGUCGGACACAGUCUGGUGCUGGCGGCGUCGGACACAGUCUGGUUGCUGGGCGGCGUCGGACACAGUCUGGUUGCUGGCGGCGUCGGACACAGUCUGGUUGCUGGCGGCGUCGGACACAGUCUGGUUGCUGGCGGCGUCGGACACAGUCUGGUUGCUGGCGCGUCGGACACAGUCUGGUUGCUGGCGGCGUCGGACACAGUCUGGUUGCUGGCGGCGUCGGACACAGUCUGGUUGCUGGCGCGUCGGACACAGAGUCUGGUUGCUGGCGGCGUCGGACACAGUCUGGUUGCUGGCGGCGUCGGACACAGUCUGGUUGCUGGCGGCGUCGGACACAGUCUGGUUUGCUGGCGGCGUCGGACACAGUCUGGUUGCUGGCGGCGUCGACACAGUCUGGUUGCUAGGCGCGUCGGACACAGUCUGGUUGCUGGCGGCGUCGGACACAGUCUGGUUGCUGGCGGCGUCGGACACAGUCUGGUUGCUGGCGGCGUCGGACACAGUCUGGUUGCUGGCGGCGUCGGCACAGUCUGGUUGCUGGCGCGUCGGACACAGUCUGGUGUGUGCUGGCGGCGUCGACACAGUCUGGUUGCUGGGGCGCUCGGACACAGUCUGGUUGCUGGCGGCGUCGGACACAGUCUGGUUGCUGGCGGCGUCGGACACAGUCUGGUUGCUGGCGGCGUCGGACACAAGUCUGGUUGCUGGCGGCGUCGGACACAGUCUGGUUGCUGGCGGCGUCGGACACAGUCUGGUUGCUGGCGGCGUCGGACACAGUCUGGUUGCUGGCGGCGUCGGACACAGUCUGGUUGCUGGCGGCGUCUGACACAGUCUGGUUGCCGGCGGCGUCUGACACAGUCUGGUUGCCGGCGGCGUCUGACACAGUCUGGUUGCCGGCGGCGUCUGACACAGUCUGGUUGCCGGCGGCGUCUGACAGUUCUGGUUGCCGGCGGCGUCUGACACAGUCUGGUUGCCGGCGGCGUCUGACACAGUCUGGUUGCCGGCGGCGUCUGACACAUCAUUGGUUGCCGGCGGCGUCUGACACAGUCUGGUUGCCGGCGGCGUCUGACACAGUCUGGUUGCCGGCGGCGUCUGACACAGUCUGGUUGCCCGGCGGCGUCUGACACAGUCUGGUUGCCGGCGGCGUCUGACACAGUCUGGUUGCCGGCGGCGUCUGACACAGUCUGGUCAAUAAACUGCAGUUUUCCAAGUGAUUCUUCAGCUUCCACCUCAUUGGUUUCCAGUUGAACUGAAAAAAAAAAGAAUUUUUUUUUCUCCUCUUUAUUAAAAAAGGAAAGUUUAAUUUCUACCUUUACAUUCUUCAGAACAGCUGCCAUCUUACCUUUCUUUAUAUGUCUGUCCAUCCUGGAAUCUGUUGUCUGCGUGAGACCAAGGUUGCUUCUCAAAGUAAACUCUAGGGUAAGCAGGAGGUUAUUUUUCAUACAAGCAUCUCACGUACUGAACUAGUGCAUUUUGUUUUACCAGGUUUCUUUUGAAGCUGUUCAUGUUCAGCAGUUUUAUGCUCGUUCUCAACUUGCAAGCUCCAACCUGAAAAAGACAUUUUGGCACAACUGACAACAUUUCUGAAACAUUGAGUUUCAACAAACAAAGUUCUACAUUGUCUUUGAAAUAUUUUGUCAUACCUUUGCUAAGGCAAACAGCCAGAACAAAAAAAGCCACAAAUGAAUCAGGUCCA
Long non-coding RNA from Oryzias javanicus (javanese ricefish), 2787 nucleotides. Lineage: Eukaryota; Metazoa; Chordata; Actinopteri; Beloniformes; Adrianichthyidae. The record is from Ensembl.